CCCUGCGCGGAGCGCGCCCUCCGGGCGCGAGCACCGUCAGCCUCACCGCCCGUGGUCUCCUGGCUCCGGGAGCCUUGCUCCCUAGCUCUCCAGUAGGUGCGUCGGCGGAUUUGCCCUAGCUCCCGGGUUGGAAUUUGAGGAAGCACGUUAAGGUUCCAGGCCUCCCCGGGAUCCAACCUGGAGCUGCGGAGUGGUGUCACCUCCAGGAACCCACCUGGCUUCUGCCUGCACGCUCAAGCAAACUAAAGGUUCCCGAACCCCUCUCUGUGCUUCAGAAAGGGUCAAGGUUUCGGAUACUACUUUCUCUUCGUCCAAAAUGCAAAAUCAUCUUUCCCUAAAUCACAUUCUUUCUCUAGAUUUCACUAUAAGAAUUUUUUCGGGAUUAAUUAUGGGGCCAUCCGUUUCCCUCCCAAAGAUAUCACCCACAGACAUGCAUACACCACACACCUUCCCAAGCAGAGACUGUAGGUUGUUACCGGGUUUGAUACAAGCCUGUCUUUCCAUUUCCUUUGCUAUCUCACCAGUCUGCUUUGGUUAUUAUUGAUCGCUUACUAAAUGCUAUUCUUCCCUAUCCACUAGGAAGACCACAAUCAGUUUGAUUUCCUUAAAACUGCUUUACAUACUUCGACUUUCUGCUCCCAGAAACUUAAGGGGUUCCUCAAUAUGACCCUCAUCCCUCUCUGUCUUAUCUCUUUCUUCCUUCCUUCCUUCCUUCAUUCCUUUCUUUCUCUUUUUUUUUUGUACCAGGAGUUGAACCCAGGAGCACUUAACCACUGAGCCACAACUCCAUCCCUUUUUAAUUUUUUUUGAGACAUGGUCUUGCUAAGUUGCUUAAGGCAUUGGUAAAUUGUUAAGGCUGGCCUCAAACUUGUGAUCCUCCUGCCUCAGGCUCUGGAACCGCUGGGAAUUACAGACCUGCCCAACCAGGCCUGGUUUAUCUCUUUUUAAAAAAGUUUUAUUGAAGAAUGAUUGACAAGAUAAUCUAAACAUAUUUAAAUAUACAAUUUGAUAAGUUUUGACCUAUGUAUACACCCAUGAGAUAAACCAUUAUCCCAAUCAAAAUAGUGAACAUAUUCAUCAUCAUCCUCAAGUUUCCGGCCGCUUUUUGUAACCAUUUCAUCCUGUCACUCCCUAUCAAGGCCCUUAGCAAUUGGAGUUGUCUCUUGGUGCCCUCCGGACUUUGAUUCCAGGAUUCCCCCUACCCAUACUAAAAUCAGCAGAUGUCAAGUCCCUUAUAAAAUGGUGUAGUUUUUGCAUAUAACAUACACACAUGUUCACAUAUACUUUAUUUUUUAAACUCUUUUUUAAUAUUUAUUUUUUAGUUAUAGACAAACACAAUAUUUUUUUUUUAUGUGGUGCUGAGGAUCGAACCCAGUGCCUCACACAUGGUAGGUGAGUGCUCUACCUCUGAGCCACGACCCCUGUCCUCAUAUAUACUUUAAAUUAUCCCUAAUCUAUUAUGUAGUAGAAUGUAAAUGUUGUGUUAAUAAUUGUUAAACUGUAUUUCUUAGAGAAUAGUAAUAAGAUUUUUUCUUAUUAGUCUCUACAUGUUCAAUACAGAUGUGAUUUUUUCCCUCAAGUAUUUUUCAUUCUCUGGUUAAAUACACAGAUGUUGAACUCAUGGAUAGGGAGGACCAAUUGCACUGACCUGUUUUCAGUCACCACAGAUUAGUUAGCACACGUUCAAGUUUUAUAUACUGGCGUCACACAAUGCACAUGUUUGUUGGGGGGUCUGGUUUUUUUCAUGCUGCAUAAUUAUUACCUCUCAAACAUUAUGACGUACUGUUCACUAUAGCAGGAUCUUUUCUCCAACAAAACUGAUCCAACCACUGUUUCCCUAGCAAGCUUUGACUGUGCUUGUAAACAAUCUUCUGGCAAUCUUCAGGUAUCGGGUAUUCCUUUUUCAUCUGGCAGGUCUAGCAGAACCAAGGCUUUAAAAUGUUUUAAUAUAUGUGUCACAUUAGAUUGCCAGCCCCUUGGGGCAAGGAUCUUGACUAAUUAAACAUGCAUUCAAUAAAUGUUUAUCUUCCAGAUUUCAACCAGGCCUACACAUUUCCUGUCUUUAGGGAUUUAUAAUCUAGAAGGUGGAGACAACCAAACCAGAAAAUCAAAAUACAAUAAGGGGGGAGGGGCUGGAGUUGUGGCUCAGUGGCACAGUGCUGGCCUAGCAUGUGUGAGGCACUGGGUUCAAUUCUCAGCACCAUAUAUAAAUAAACAAAAUAAAAGUCCAUUGACAACUAAAAACCAUUUUUAAAAAAAUACAAUAAGAGUACUUUGUUUCCCUGGAACUUUAUAACUCUUGACUUUUUUGUGCCUACAAAAAAUGCUUCACUCCUGUCUUGAAUGAUGUAGAAGUGAAACAAGGUGAGCUCCUUGACAGUUUCCAGAACUCUGAUAAAUUGUAGGGUUUAAAGUUGGAAAUGAGGAACAGGAUUUAUCCAUAAUUGAACUAAUCCAAAUAAAUUUCCUAAUUUUCAGGUAAGCAGAUAGUCUUUAAGUUUAUGUGUUGGCCAGCAAUCAUUCUGAAGAAUGAAUUUAUUCACAAAAAAAUAUGUAUCCAGUGCCUAAGGAUAUGUUAGGAACAGUUAUAGUCAAUGUUCAGUGACAAACUGAUAAAUUCAGUAUUUCAGAAAAUGUUUAUUAAAUGUUUUAAUAAAAUGUUUAUUCUUUUCUCACAAUUCUUU
This 2684-nucleotide long non-coding RNA is filed under the name Marmota monax (woodchuck). Lineage: Eukaryota; Metazoa; Chordata; Mammalia; Rodentia; Sciuridae. The record is from RNAcentral.